CUGGCUGCGCGUCUCGCGGCUGCGCGUCGGGGGUCUGCAGCCUCGCUCCGCGGUCGCUCCGCCGGGCCCCUGCUCUCGCCCCGCCCAUUCCGCUUUGCAGGGUGCUGGGGGAUUUCCUUUUGCCUCCGGUUGGGGCUGCUAUUUCGCUUCGCUGACGAGAGGAAGAGAAGAAAGUACUCAUGGCAGAGGGGAGAGCAGAGGCAAGAUGGAAUGCAGCCUAUUAGAGGAAAUGUGACUGGAGCAUGUGGUGCAAGUGGAGAGGUGAGAUGUGAAGGUGGAACAAAGAUGCCAGGUCCCAUAAGCCAUCAUAAAGGCAGUGUAGAGCCAUUGAAGGAUUUUAGGAUGGAGAGUGGUAGCUUCAGAAUUUGUAUGUUAGUUAGAUCCAGUUCUUGGAGAAUGGAUUGGAGGAGAAAAGUGGAGGUUAGGGGACCGAGAGAGAGAUGUUUCAGUGGUUUAGGAGAGAAAUAAUGGGGAGAGGACAGAGUCAAGGAUGAGUCCCAGGGUCUGGGAGGAAGGGGUUCCAUUCAUGGGGAGAGAGAACACAGGAGCAAGAGCGAUUUGGGCUGGGGGAGGUGAGGAUCUCCGGAUGAUCCUGCUGAGGUGUCUGUGAGUCGCCUGGAGGAAAGGUCUGGAGGGCAGAGUCAUGUCACAGAAGCAAUCCCAGGAGAAGGAUUGGGAUUGGAGGUGGAGAUUUCGGAACCACAAGCAACUAGAAGGUAGUCAAGCCAUGGGGUUGUCUUUUCGGAGAGAGCAUGAUGUAUGAGAAGAGACAGCCUGGGACAAAACCCAAAGGAACACCCACAGACAGAAAGAGGAGGGGAAGCCUACAAAAGAGAACGAACAGCCAAAGAAGUGGGAGGACACUCAAACCAGCAGAGUGUGGAGUCAUGAAAACAGAAGAGAGGGGUCCUGUGUCAACUGAGGUAAAGAGUCAAGUCAGAUAAGGGCUGCACAUUAUCGCCUGCACUUAGCGACAAAGAGAUCAUUGUUGACCUUGGCAAGAGCAGUUUUGGAGCAGAGAGGGUCCAGAGGUGGCCUUUGGAAUGUAGGAAGUGUGAGAGAGGACUCAUCAAGUGUAGCAACUCAUUCCAGAAGUUUGACUUUAAAUAAUGUUACAUGCAUUGUUGCAUUAAAUCCUCAUAGCAACCGAGGCAAGAGUUUUGGAGAUGAGGAAACUGAAGCUCUGAGAGGUUAAGUAACUUCCCUAUAAAUCAGCACUAGUGAGUAAUGAAGCAAG
Molecule: long non-coding RNA, 1237 nt
Filed under: Equus asinus (donkey)
Lineage: Eukaryota; Metazoa; Chordata; Mammalia; Perissodactyla; Equidae
Description: lncRNA (ENSEASG00005029836.1)
Source: RNAcentral